This 382-nucleotide ribosomal RNA is filed under the name uncultured eukaryote. RNAcentral's name for it is "partial 18S ribosomal RNA". It matches the Rfam family "Eukaryotic small subunit ribosomal RNA", at positions 592 to 976 of the family's 1831-position model. The record is from RNAcentral.
UGUAAGCGUAUACCAAAGUUGUUGCAGUUAAAACGCUCGUAGUCGGAAUUUGGCAGUUCCGGAUGUGUGCACGUCGUGUGCGCACUUCGCGGGGAUUGCUUUUGUGGUCUUGCGUAGGAUGAGGCACUUUUAUUAGUGAACGUCCUCACGCAACCACUUUUUACUGUGAGAAAAUCAGAGUGCUCAAAGCAGGCAUUUGCCGUGAAUGUAUUAGCAUGGAAUAAUAGAAUAGGACUUGGUUCUAUUUUGUUGGUUUGUUGGGACUGAGUAAUGAUUAAGAGGGACAGUUGGGGGCAUUUGUAUUUCGGUGCUAGAGGUGAAAUUCUUAGAUUACCGAAAGACAAACUCCUGCGAAAGCGUCUGCCAAGGAUGUUUUCAUUGA